RNAcentral lists this ribosomal RNA (324 nucleotides) under uncultured bacterium. Its description in RNAcentral is "bacterial SSU rRNA". It matches the Rfam family "Bacterial small subunit ribosomal RNA", at positions 30 to 351 of the family's 1533-position model. The record is from RNAcentral.
AUUGAACGCUGGCGGCAUGCCUUACACAUGCAAGUCGAACGGCAGCACGGGAGCUUGCUCCUGGUGGCGAGUGGCGAACGGGUGAGUAAUACAUCGGAACGUACCCUGAAGUGGGGGAUAACGUAGCGAAAGUUACGCUAAUACCGCAUAUUCUGUGAGCAGGAAAGAGGGGGAGUCGCAAGACCUCUUGCUUUAGGAGCGGCCGAUGUCGGAUUAGCUAGUUGGUGAGGUAAAGGCUCACCAAGGCGACGAUCCGUAGCGGGUCUGAGAGGAUGAUCCGCCACACUGGGACUGAGACACGGUCCAGACUCCUACGGGAGGCAG